AUUGAACGCUGGCGGCAGGCCUAACACAUGCAAGUCGAACGAGUGGCGGACGGGUGAGUAAUGUCUGGGAAACUGCCUGAUGGAGGGGGAUAACUACUGGAAACGGUAGCUAAUACCGCAUACCAUCGGAUGUGCCCAGAUGGGAUUAGCUAGUAGGUGGGGUAAAGGCUCACCUAGGCGACGAUCCCUAGCUGGUCUGAGAGGAUGACCGGCCACACUGGAACUGGGACACGGUCCAGACUCCGACGGUGGGCAGCAGUGGGGAAUAUUGAACAAUGGGCGCAAGCCUGAUGCAGCCAUGCCGCGUGUGUGAAGAAGGCCUUCGGGUUGUAAAGUACUUUCAGCGAGGAGGCGUUACCCGCAGAAGAAGAACCGGCUAACUCCGUGCCAGCAGCCGCGGUAAUAC
Molecule: ribosomal RNA, 406 nt
Filed under: uncultured bacterium
Lineage: Bacteria
Description: partial 16S ribosomal RNA
Rfam family: Bacterial small subunit ribosomal RNA
Source: RNAcentral